AUGGGAUUUUGUUUAAAAGUAUUUGCUUGGAGGAGAGGUUGGCUCUUGAGUUACCUUUUCAAGAGGGGGAUAUUAAAGAGGCUAUAUGGGGGUUAUGGGAGUUCAAAGAGUCCAGGUCCCGAUGGUUACACUUUUCUUUUUAUAAAAAACUGUUGGUUUUUCAUUAAAGAGGAUUUUAUUUGUUUAUUUAAUAGCUUUCAUUCCGGAGAAAUUUCUAAGGUGGUAACAUCUUCUUUCUUGACGUUGGUUCCUAAAUCCCCAAAUCUGGUAUCCUUGGAAGAUUAUAGACCUAUUUGCUUAGUUGGUUGUUUGUACAAAUCUAUAGCAAAGUUAUUCGCGGGUAGACUUAAAAGGGUGUUGCAUUCUAUUAUUUUUCCGUACCAAAGUGAUUUUGUGUCGGGGAGACAACUUCUUGAUAGAGUGUUGGUAGCAAACUAA
Molecule: non-coding RNA, 438 nt
Organism: Vicia faba (fava bean)
Lineage: Eukaryota; Viridiplantae; Streptophyta; Magnoliopsida; Fabales; Fabaceae
Source: the annotation of a GenBank genome assembly